This is a long non-coding RNA of Gadus macrocephalus (Pacific cod), 927 nucleotides long. RefSeq lists it as uncharacterized. The record is from RefSeq and is a predicted model, not a curated record. Lineage: Eukaryota; Metazoa; Chordata; Actinopteri; Gadiformes; Gadidae. The transcript has 2 exons.
GACUGGCAACUGGAGGCGAAGUGUUUGGCCACAUCCUUCGUCCCAGAAAAUCAAACGAAAGAUGUGCUGGCAGACGCCCUCAAAGUCGGCGCUCAAGAGUGGGGCAUAGAGGAAGAGAAAAUAUCCUGCAUCACAACCGACAAUGGUGCAAACAUUAUUGCAGCCGUCCGGGAGCUCAAAUGGCCCUGGUUGAACUGCUUUGGACAUAAUUUGAAUGUGGCCAUAAACAAUGCACUUGACGGAGAAAAGGAUUGCACUAGUCGUGCGUUUGGGGUCUGCCGGGCAAUCAACGGCGCCUUUUCGCAUAGUUGGCAACGGAAACGGGAGCUGAGCAAAGCCCAGGAUGAGCUACAACUCCCCAACCAUGCUUUGAUUACGGACUGUGCAACACGUUGGGGUUCGAAGCAGAAGAUGGCAGAGAGGAUACUGGAACAGGCCGCAGCAAUCAAGAGGGUUUUCGCAAACGACAGAAGCCGCCGUCCCCUGCCAAACCUGACGUGGCAAGAUGAAGCUGUGCUGGAGGCAGUGAACAAAGCUUUAAAACCUCUUUCUGACUUUACGGACAUACUGUCUGGCGAAAACCAUGUGACAGUCUCUUCCUUGCUGCCCACGCUACAAUUAUUGAAAGACAACGUCUUGAAGGAAGACGACGAUGACGUCCGGAUGACAUCCGUCAUUAAAAGCGGGGUGCUGCUGGAACUAGAUAACAAAUACGACAAUGAAGCGUCAUUAAAAUUAAUGCGCUUAUCUGCUCUCCUCGACCCCCGCUACAAGGGCGACCAUAUCGAUGCCGUUUCCCUCGACAGCACGAGAGUUCGAUUGGAGUCAGAGAUGGUGUCAUUCUGCAGGAGGCAGACCACCGGACAGGUAAGGGUCAGAGUGGAGGAUGUUGAGACGGAGCAGCCAGUGGCACCUAUUCCACCACCA